AGCUAUCUUUCGGGGUGGUCAAUUGGUUGUUAUAUCUCCACUAAUAAGCGGAGAGGGGUAAAACCUUCAAAGUAAGUUAUGUGGAUCAAGGUAUGAUGAUUAAUUGGAGUUCUAGUUCAUUUACUUUGAGAAAAUUAGAGUGUUUAAAGCAGCCUCUUGGGGCACUGAAUACAUUAGCAUGGGAUAAUAAAAUAGGAUCUUCACAAUAUAUUUUAUUGGUUUAAAUUGGAUAUGAAGAUAAUGAUUAAUAGGGACAGUUGGGGAUAUUCAUAUUGGGUGGUUAGCGGUGAAAUGCUCGGAUCCAUUCAAGAUGAACUAAAGCGAAGGCAUUUUACCAAGGAUGUUUUCAUUAAUCAAGAACGAAAGUUAAGGGAUCGAAGACGAUUAGAUACCGUCGUAGUCUUAACUAUAAACUAUGCCGACCAGGGAUAUGAGUUGUUAGGAAUAUACGAAAGUAUAUUCAAUUUCUUCUUAUGGACCUUGUGAGAAAUCAUAAGUUUUUGGGUUCUGGGAG
RNAcentral lists this ribosomal RNA (514 nucleotides) under uncultured eukaryote. Its description in RNAcentral is "bacterial SSU rRNA". It matches the Rfam family "Eukaryotic small subunit ribosomal RNA", at positions 632 to 1120 of the family's 1831-position model. The record is from RNAcentral.